RNAcentral lists this ribosomal RNA (778 nucleotides) under uncultured Mesotoga sp. RNAcentral's name for it is "bacterial SSU rRNA". It matches the Rfam family "Bacterial small subunit ribosomal RNA", at positions 8 to 795 of the family's 1533-position model. Lineage: Bacteria; Thermotogati; Thermotogota; Thermotogae; Kosmotogales; Kosmotogaceae. The record is from RNAcentral.
AGAGUUUGAUUAUGGCUCAGGGUGAACGCUGGCGGCGUGCUUGACACAUGCAAGUCGAACGGUAUGUGGCAACACAUAGAGUGGCGAACGGGUGAGUAACACGUGGGAACGUACCCUCUGCAGGGGGAUAACUGACCGAAAGGACAGCUAAUACCGCAUAAGACCGAGAGGAGAAAGGUGCAACAGCAUCGGCAGAGGAGCGGCCCGCGGACCAUCAGCUAGUUGGUGGGGUAAGAGCCUACCAAGGCAACGACGGAUAGCCGGCGUGAGAGCGUGGCCGGCCACAAGGACACUAAGAUACGGGUCCUACUCCUACGGGAGGCAGCAGUGCGGAAUUUUAGAUAAUGGAGGCAACUCUGAUCUAGCGACGCCGCGUGCAGGAAGAAGGUCUUCGGAUUGUAAACUGCUGUGGUAAGGGAAAAAUGCCAUGUAGAGUGGAAAGCUACAUGGAGGGAUGGUACUUUACUAGAAAGCCCCGGCUAACUACGUGCCAGCAGCCGCGGUAAUACGUAGGGGGCGAGCGUUACCCGGAAUCACUGGGCGUAAAGGGAGCGUAGGUGGCCUGACAUGUCGACUGUGAAAACCCGGAGCUCAACUCCGGACUUGCAGUUGAAACUGCCAGGCUUGAGGACGGUAGAGGAAGACGGAACUGCCAGUGUAGGGGUAAAAUCCUUAGAUAUUGGCAGGAACGCCGGUGACGAAGGUGGUUUUCUGGGCCGGUUCUGACACUGAUGCUCGAAAGCCAGGGGAGCGAACGGGAUUAGAUACCCUGGUAGUC